AUCUGCUGCCAUACCACGGCUGAACGACCCGGAUCUCAUUUGAUCUCGGAAGCUAAGCAGAGUCGAACCUAGUUGGUACUUGGAUGAGAGAUUAUCCGGACUAUGCUGUAGACC
This 114-nucleotide ribosomal RNA is filed under the name Fukomys damarensis (Damara mole-rat). The record is from RNAcentral. Lineage: Eukaryota; Metazoa; Chordata; Mammalia; Rodentia; Bathyergidae.